This is a long non-coding RNA of Dicentrarchus labrax (European seabass), 3113 nucleotides long. The record is from Ensembl. NCBI's taxonomy places the organism in Eukaryota, Metazoa, Chordata, Actinopteri, Moronidae.
AUGAAGAGUUUGGCUGAAGUGUUAGUGAAUUCAAGCCUGCACACCGCCACCCUCUACCCUCUCAGCCCUCUCCUCCUUCCACCACUUCAUCAUCCCUCCAUUCCCGGAAUUGGACAUGUCCCCCUCAGCUGUGAAGAAACACUUUGCAUCUGGCAACCGCUGUUGUUGUUCUCUCUCUUCUGGCUUCUUUCCCUCCAGGUCCACCCUUCUCACCCUCCUCUCGCUCUAUUCGGCACUCCACCCUCCCCACUCAUGGGUCCGGAUGUCCUAGGUCCAUCUGUCAGCGUGUCUAUCCCUAGACUGGUGAAAGGGAGGGGAGAGAGGAAGGAGAUGAUAGACGAGAAAAAGCGAGAGGAGCAGCCAAAGGGCUCAGAUGAGAAGGCUGUCUCUAACAAAAAUGGCUCCUAUCUCCCUGAAUUUUAAAAGCAGGAAUUUUUAUUCGCUCAGGAAGUGAACGCCCCAUGUCAGGUGACUUUAAUGCAGGAAAGGAGCCAGCCACCUUUAUCCUUGCUACGCCAACAACAUAACACCCUAAACCUCAAGUCCUGCUUUGAAGUUCACUUUCAUCUAAUGGUUUGCCAGCCGUUGUAGACAUAAAUGGUUUUCCAAAGAGCUUUUGCGAAAAGGCAUGUUUUGGAGAAAUGGUGAUCUUCCCAUGGGAAGAUAAGUGUCUUCCCCCGUUUUCCCCCUCAGAGGCCUUGAUUUCAUGCAUCAUCAAUCCUGACCUGUGUAACCCAAUAGGAACCCUUUGUUCUUUACAUCAAAGAGGUCCCACUGGACCAGAGAUCAAUCAGUGAUUGAUAGCACAAAGCGGAUUCCACGUGUUUGUAAAGCCAUCAAUACCAUGACCAAAGGAGGGGAAUCCCUCCUCAGUGAAUUGAUUGAUUUGAUUAGGUCUCUUCCUCUCUCAUUCCCAAGAUAACCGCAUUCUUCCCCCCCCUUUCAUUGGUCGUCCUUGUGGAGAUUUUAUUACCAGGAUAUCUUAUUUUCAUCUGGAUGUUUGAUCCAUGGACUCUCUGAUGUUUCCAGAUUGUUCUGGUUUUCCAGAAAGGUAUUUUGUCUUUAAAAACUUGUUGUAUAACUCCAACAUCUGUCUCUAUACUUGUUAAUGUAAUAGCAGGACAGCACAAGUGUCCAUUGAUGUGAUGAGAUUGUCUUCGCUUUCCUUAGUGUCACCAUACAAAUGUUUUCAAUCCAGACUGAGACUGUCAUAGCAAAAAUAUACAACUUACAGAAAGAUUGUUGUGUCUCCAGGUAAAAUGUCCUGGAGUAUUAGUUCGGUGAGCCUUUAGUACAGACCCAGUUUCCUCCCUUUAUUUAAUGAAAGACUUAUGAACAAUUUCUUAUUUUUUAUCGGGGGCCUCUGGUCCUGUCUUACCCAGAGUGCCUGGCCAUGUCUCACCAUGCCGUUUCCCUCUUUGCUAAACAGGCUGUAACCUCAUGACCUCGCAGCCGGUCUUCCUGAACAGAAUGGGGAAAUGGGAAAGAGGCCUGUGUUGUGGCUAAGUCGUGAUCAGGCGCCAGGAAGGCAGGAAGUGAAUUUUCACAUAAACACCAAAGAUUCAGCACUUUCAAGCAAGAUGCAGAACUGUUUGUUCACAUGAAGCACAUAAACAUACACAAUAAAAAUGAUAAGCAUGUAACAGUGCCCACUCAACAGUUUUGAUGGGCUGUAGGCACUGUGAGUACCCAGCCAAGCCCAAAACAUUAUCUUGAAAGUUACGUAACUCACUGUAGAAAAAAAAUAAUAAAGAAACCAAAGGCAGCACACAGAGGACGCUUCUCUCAGGAAACUGAGACAACUUUUAUUGUGGAUUUUAAUGGGCUCAGGUGCUCCUAGUUGCACUGAAUGAAGAUCCCUGCCAACCAAUUAUCUGCAAAACAACAAACAAAAAGGAAGAGGCAAACUGGAGGGCCAUCACAAUCAUUUGCAGAUGGUUGGCUUUCAACUGGAACUAAGAGAACACAUUAGCCAAAUGUUGUUAAACUCAAUUGGCUUCCAAUUGCCUCAUAAUUCAUUCAAAAAAUGUAAGUAUUAAGUCGACAUGUGUACCCAAAGGUUUAUGAAUGUCCGUUUGCUUGGAGGGUAGAGGGGAAACACUCAUUCACUACACACUUCACUACAUCAGAGACCAGGGAUCAGUCCCUAGUAGUGGUGCGUCUGUCUUGGCCUUAUUAUCCAGCAAAGGUAAAAUAUUCUGCCCGACUGUUUUCUGAAUGUAUCCAUCUUUGUACAAAUGUAAAAGGUACAGUAAAUGUAAAUGCAAUCUUUUGUCUUUGGAGAGAAAAUGCUAUUUACUCAGUUAACUUUGUGUGAAUCACCAUUUCCCUUAGAGAAACAUAAAGUGGAAACGGUAAGCCAUUAACAAUUCAAUCCUUUUAUAACUUGAAUCUGAAGUUUACAUAGGCCAGAAAAAUUUUUAAAAAGUAGGUAAAAACACAGGCUAUAGAAUCUCUGAUAUCCUCAGCAUCACCGCCCAUCACCCCUCAGUAUUGUUUGCCUGGUUUUGUUUCCUGACAGCCUCCUAUAGCACAUACAGUCAUCUCUGGCUGUGGUAUAGUAACCCCCACCCCUCCUUUUUUGGCAGCUUGCUGUAGUGUGCUGAGUGGGCAAAGGGCCAGCCAGCGAGCAGCCGGCCGUGGGAUGGUGACGUUUGAUCUUCAGGGAGGCACCAUCAGCGCUGAGCCCUCCUCGGCUGAAGCGCUUUGUGCUUAAGUGCAUUAGUGGCAGGGAGAUCCUUUAAGAUGUGGCGGCCAUGCACGAGACCUGUGGGCAGCUGGCCCUAUGCGGGGCUGAUGGGAUUGAAGGAGCCAGGGCGUGAUGGUUAUGCCAGGAGUCAGGUCGCACAGGCAUAUGGGAGGGGGGGUGAGGUGAGAAAGUGGGAGGGCUGGCAAGACUUGAUAUGCCAGCAUGGCCAACUCUGGCCUGGUUCAAAUCCCAGAUAUAACCGGUGCAGGGGUGGGAUUGGACAUGGUGCGCCGACGCAGAGGAUUAGGCUUCUCAGCCACAGUGGGAACGAAAAUGCAUGUAUGUCCUUGGACUGAUGAAUAUGACAUAUAAAUAACUAUAAAGGAUGUUAUUCAUGGAGUGGAAUGAAUGAUUGUGUGCACUA